UUAAUAUUUAUUUAUUAAUUUUAUUUUUUUUUAAUUUAUUAUAUUAAAAAUAAUUAUAAAUUGAAUUGUUUUAGUAUUUUUUAAAUAACAAAUAAUUUUAAUUAUAGUGUAAUAGUAUUGUGAAAGAAAAUUGAAAUAAUUUGAAAAAUUUUUAUUUUAAAAGAAAAUUUAAUUUAUUGUACCUUGUGUAUCAGGGUUUAUUAAAUAAAAAUUAAUUAUAUUAAUUUUCUCGAUUUUAAAAGAGUUAAUAUAUUAUAAAAGUUAAUGUAAUAAAAUUAUUUUUAAUAAUAUAUUGGAAAUGAAAUGUUAUUCGGUUUUAAAGGUAUCUAGUUCUUUAAGAAAUAAAUUUAAUUUAGAAAUUUUAUAUUAUUAAUUUAGUUGAAUUAAAUUAAUAAUUAUUUAAUUUUAAUAUUUUAUGGGAUAAGCUAUAAAAUAAAUUUUCAAAAAUAAAUAAAUAAAUUUAUAAAUAUAAGCUUAGAAAUAGCUAUUAUUAAUAAUUUUGUUUUAAUUUAUUUAGUUAAUAAAAUUAUUUAUUAAAUUUUGAAUAUUUAUUAAAGUAUUUAUUUUAAUUUAAAAAAUAAAAUAAUAAUGAUAAAAUUAGUAUAUUAAAAUGUAUAAAUAAUAAUUUAUGAUAAGUUUUUAUAAAGAACUCGGCAAAUUUAAUAUUCGCCUGUUUAACAAAAACAUGUCUUUUUGAAUUUAAUUUAAAGUCUAACCUGCCCACUGAAUUAUUUUUAAAUGGCCGCAGUAUACUAACUGUGCAAAGGUAGCAUAAUCAUUAGUCUUUUAAUUGAAGGCUGGUAUGAAUGGUUGGACGAAAUAUUAACUGUUUCAUAAAUAUUUAUAAUAGAAUUUUAUUUUUUAGUCAAAAAGCUAAAAUAUUUUUAAAAGACGAGAAGACCCUAUAAAUCUUUAUAUUUAUAUUAUUACAAUUUUUUAGAAUUAUUUUAUUUUAAUAAUUAAUAAUAUUUUAUUGGGGUGAUAUUAAAAUUUAAUAAACUUUUAAUUAAAUAUUUCAUUAAUUAAUGAUUAAUUGAUCCGUUAUUAACGAUUAAAAAUUUAAGUUACUUUAGGGAUAACAGCGUAAUUUUUUUGGAGAGUUCAUAUCGAUAAAAAAGAUUGCGACCUCGAUGUUGGAUUAAGAUAUAAUUUUAGGUGUAGCCGCUUAAAUUUUAAGUCUGUUCGACUUUUAAAUUCUUACAUGAUCUGAGUUCAGACCGGCGUAAGCCAGGUUGGUUUCUAUCUUUAAAAAAUUAAAAUAUUAUAGUACGAAAGGACCUAAUAUUUAAUAAAUUAUUAUUUUUAUAUUGAAUAUUAAUAAUAUAA
This 1326-nucleotide ribosomal RNA is filed under the name Hydrotaea aenescens (black dump fly). RNAcentral's name for it is "16S ribosomal RNA". The stretch from base 1075 to 1234 matches the Rfam family "Archaeal large subunit ribosomal RNA", at positions 2544 to 2703 of the family's 2987-position model. The record is from RNAcentral. Lineage: Eukaryota; Metazoa; Arthropoda; Insecta; Diptera; Muscidae.